This 301-nucleotide ribosomal RNA is filed under the name uncultured bacterium. Its description in RNAcentral is "partial 16S ribosomal RNA". It matches the Rfam family "Bacterial small subunit ribosomal RNA", at positions 509 to 809 of the family's 1533-position model. The record is from RNAcentral.
CAGCAGCCACGGUAAUCCGUAGGGGGCAAGCGUUAUCCGGAAUUAUUGGGCGUAAAGAGUACGUAGGUGGCUAUAUAAGCGCAUGGUGAAAGGCAGAGGCUUAACCACUGUUAGCCUUGCGAACUGUAUAGCUUGAGUGCAGGAGAGGGAAGCGGAAUUCCUAGUGUAGCGGUGAAAUGCGUAGAUAUUAGGAGGAACACCAGUGGCGAAGGCGGCUUUCUGGACUGUAACUGACGCUGAGGCUCGAAAGCCAGGGGAGCGAACAGGAUUAGAUACCCCAGUAGUCCCUGUCUCUUAUACA